RNAcentral lists this non-coding RNA (102 nucleotides) under chicken gut metagenome. Its description in RNAcentral is "NiCo riboswitch". It matches the Rfam family "NiCo (Nickel/Cobalt) riboswitch aptamer". The record is from RNAcentral.
ACAGUACAAACUGAGCAGGCGAUAAACCCUUGAUGAUCGGGGUUUGUGGGGCCGGGCCGCUCGCGCGGCAGCAGAUGACGGAUUCGACAUCUGUGGGACAGU